UACAGAGGUCUCAAGCGUUGUUCGGAUUCAUUGGGCGUAAAGGGUGCGUAGGCGGCGCGGUAAGUCGGGGGUGAAAUCCUGGAGCUCAACUCCAGAACUGCCUUCGAUACUGAGGAUCUCGAGUCCGGGAGAGGUGAGUGGAACUGCGAGUGUAGAGGUGAAAUUCGUAGAUAUUCGCAAGAACACCAGUGGCGAAGGCGGCUCACUGGCCCGAUACUGACGCUGAGGCACGAAAGCGUGGGGGAGCAAACAGG
Molecule: ribosomal RNA, 254 nt
Filed under: uncultured bacterium
Lineage: Bacteria
Description: partial 16S ribosomal RNA
Rfam family: Bacterial small subunit ribosomal RNA
Source: RNAcentral